CUGUCCGUAACAGGUGUUCAGUAUGUCUCUGUAUCCUAACAGGUAGUGAAUGUAAGGUAACAGCUGGUCUGUCCUAACAGGUGUUCAGUAUGUCUCUGUAUCCUAACAGGUAGUGAGUGUAAGGUGACGGCUGGUGUACUCAACAUGAGUCUUAACUGUACCCUCCUCUGUCAGAGAUCUGUCACCUGACAUCAUCACCACCCAGGUCAGAGACUGGUCGUAAUGCUACUAUGCUCUGUCAUGUUGUCACGCUACGAUUCACUGACAUCUGAUGUUGUCCUUCCCUAAGAGGCACGCGU
This is a non-coding RNA of Salvelinus sp. IW2-2015, 299 nucleotides long. NCBI's taxonomy places the organism in Eukaryota, Metazoa, Chordata, Actinopteri, Salmoniformes, Salmonidae. The record is from RefSeq and is a predicted model, not a curated record.